CGGACGGGUGAGUAAUGUAUGGGGAUCUGCCUGAUGGCGGGGGAUAACUACCGGAAACGGUAGCUAAUACCGCAUAAUGUCUGCGGACCAAAGCGGGGGACCUCCGGGCCUCGCGCCAUCAGAUGAACCCAUAUGGGAUUAGCUUGUAGGUAAGGUAACGGCUUACCUAGGCGACGAUCCCUAGCUGGUCUGAGAGGAUGAUCAGCCACACUGGGACUGAGACACGGCCCAG
RNAcentral lists this ribosomal RNA (232 nucleotides) under uncultured bacterium. RNAcentral describes it as "partial 16S ribosomal RNA". It matches the Rfam family "Bacterial small subunit ribosomal RNA", at positions 99 to 334 of the family's 1533-position model. The record is from RNAcentral.